CUUUCACCAUCUUUGUGUCUUCAGACGGGGUUUCAUGAAUCGCACUCCGACAAAAAUAACAACCCAUCUCAAGCCAAUCAAGCCCUGUGGAGAAGACGAACUCUGAAUAGACGAAGGUCUACCCCAACCCCCCCACCAAAAUAUGCCCUGACGGACCAGAAAACCUGUGCCACUGCUACCAAGAAGUAAAACGCAAAAACGCAGCACAAGCCACCAUGUAACGACGGUGUGAGUCUUGGUGAAUCAAAUACUACAGGCAGAAGUACUACAGCCAGAAAUACUACAGGCAGAAAUACUACAGGCAGAAAUACUACAGGCAGAAAUACUACAGGCAGAAGUACUACAGGCAGAAACACUACAGGCAGAAAUACUACAGGCAGAAGUACUACAGGCAGAAAUACUACAGGCAGAAAUACUACAUGUAGAAAUACUACAGGCAGAAAUACUACAGGCAGAAGUACUACAGGCAGAAGUACUACAGGCAGAAAUACUACAGGCAGAAGUACUACAGGCAGAAGUACUACAGGCAGAAAUACUACAGGCAGAAAUACUACAGGCAGAAAUAUUACAGGCAGAAGUACUACAGGCAGAAGUACUACAGGCAGAAAUACUACAGGCAGAAAUACUACAGGCAGAAAUACUACAGGCAGAAGUACUACAGGCAGAAGUACUACAGGCAGAAAUACUACAGGCAGAAAUACUACAGGCAGAAGUACUACAGGCAGAAGUACUACAGGCAGAAAUACUACAGGCAGAAGUACUACAGGCAGAAAUACUACAGGCAAUGUCAACCUGCCUGAAAUGUGCAACAGACUGCAAGGGUGCAGCGGAAGGUUCACUGAGCAGCGGGAAUGAAGGGAUGAAAGACGUCAUAAAUAGUUAAAAGCAUCAAAGCCUUUUUUUGGUUCAUUGUAUAUCUAAGGUCUUUACUGAAGCCUGUGUCAGAA
RNAcentral lists this long non-coding RNA (947 nucleotides) under Oncorhynchus kisutch (coho salmon). Its description in RNAcentral is "lncRNA (ENSOKIG00005009101.1)". The record is from RNAcentral. Lineage: Eukaryota; Metazoa; Chordata; Actinopteri; Salmoniformes; Salmonidae.